GAUCUGGCUCAGGAUGAACGCUAGCGGCAGGCUAACACAUGCAAGUCGAGGGGCAGCGGGAUGUAGCAAUACAUUGCCGGCGACCGGCGGAUGGGUGCGUAACGCGUAUGCAACCUACCUUAUACAGGGGAAUAACCUUUCGAAAGGGAGACUAACACCCCAUAGUAUUGAUUUAAGGCAUCUUAGAUUAAUUAAAUAUUUAUAGGUAUAAGAUGGGCAUGCGUAUGAUUAGCUAGUUGGUAAGGUAACGGCUUACCAAGGCGACGAUCAUUAGGGGUUCUGAGAGGAAGGUCCCCCACACUGGUACUGAGACACGGACCAGACUCCUACGGGAGGCAGCAGUGAGGAAUAUUGGUCAAUGGGCGCAAGCCUGAACCAGCCAUGCCGCGUGCAGGAAAGACGGCCUUAUGGGUUGUAAACUGCUUUUACAUAAGACUAACCGUAUAUUUGCGAAUAUACCUGAAUGUAUUAUGAGAAUAAGGAUCGGCUAACUCCGUGCCAGCAGCGGC
This 509-nucleotide ribosomal RNA is filed under the name uncultured bacterium. Its description in RNAcentral is "bacterial SSU rRNA". It matches the Rfam family "Bacterial small subunit ribosomal RNA", at positions 15 to 518 of the family's 1533-position model. The record is from RNAcentral.